Molecule: ribosomal RNA, 1103 nt
Filed under: Staphylococcus aureus
Lineage: Bacteria; Bacillati; Bacillota; Bacilli; Caryophanales; Staphylococcaceae
Description: partial 23S ribosomal RNA
Rfam family: Bacterial large subunit ribosomal RNA
Source: RNAcentral
AAAUUCCGUCGGAAUCUGGGAGGACCAUCUCCUAAGGCUAAAUACUCUCUAGUGACCGAUAGUGAACCAGUACCGUGAGGGAAAGGUGAAAAGCACCCCGGAAGGGGAGUGAAAUAGAACCUGAAACCGUGUGCUUACAAGUAGUCAGAGCCCGUUAAUGGGUGAUGGCGUGCCUUUUGUAGAAUGAACCGGCGAGUUACGAUUUGAUGCAAGGUUAAGCAGUAAAUGUGGAGCCGUAGCGAAAGCGAGUCUGAAUAGGGCGUUUAGUAUUUGGUCGUAGACCCGAAACCAGGUGAUCUACCCUUGGUCAGGUUGAAGUUCAGGUAACACUGAAUGGAGGACCGAACCGACUUACGUUGAAAAGUGAGCGGAUGAACUGAGGGUAGCGGAGAAAUUCCAAUCGAACCUGGAGAUAGCUGGUUCUCUCCGAAAUAGCUUUAGGGCUAGCCUCAAGUGAUGAUUAUUGGAGGUAGAGCACUGUUUGGACGAGGGGCCCCUCUCGGGUUACCGAAUUCAGACAAACUCCGAAUGCCAAUUAAUUUAACUUGGGAGUCAGAACAUGGGUGAUAAGGUCCGUGUUCGAAAGGGAAACAGCCCAGACCACCAGCUAAGGUCCCAAAAUAUAUGUUAAGUGGAAAAGGAUGUGGCGUUGCCCAGACAACUAGGAUGUUGGCUUAGAAGCAGCCAUCAUUUAAAGAGUGCGUAAUAGCUCACUAGUCGAGUGACACUGCGCCGAAAAUGUACCGGGGCUAAACAUAUUACCGAAGCUGUGGAUUGUCCUUUGGACAAUGGUAGGAGAGCGUUCUAAGGGCGUUGAAGCAUGAUCGUAAGGACAUGUGGAGCGCUUAGAAGUGAGAAUGCCGGUGUGAGUAGCGAAAGACGGGUGAGAAUCCCGUCCACCGAUUGACUAAGGUUUCCAGAGGAAGGCUCGUCCGCUCUGGGUUAGUCGGGUCCUAAGCUGAGGCCGACAGGCGUAGGCGAUGGAUAACAGGUUGAUAUUCCUGUACCACCUAUAAUCGUUUUAAUCGAUGGGGGGACGCAGUAGGAUAGGCGAAGCGUGCGAUUGGAUUGCACGUCUAAGCAGUAAGGCUGAGUAUUAGGCA